CAGCAGCCACGGGAACACGUAGGGUGCAAGCGUUAAUCGGAAUUACUGGGCGUAAAGCGUGCGCAGGCGGUUAUAUAAGACAGAUGUGAAAUCCCCGGGCUCAACCUGGGAACUGCAUUUGUGACUGUAUAGCUAGAGUACGGCAGAGGGGGAUGGAAUUCCGCGUGUAGCAGUGAAAUGCGUAGAUAUGCGGAGGAACACCGAUGGCGAAGGCAAUCCCCUGGGCCUGUACUGACGCUCAUGCACGAAAGCGUGGGGAGCAAACAGGAUUAGAUACCCGGGUAGUCCCUGUCUCUUAUAA
This 301-nucleotide ribosomal RNA is filed under the name uncultured bacterium. RNAcentral's name for it is "partial 16S ribosomal RNA". It matches the Rfam family "Bacterial small subunit ribosomal RNA", at positions 509 to 809 of the family's 1533-position model. The record is from RNAcentral.